RNAcentral lists this ribosomal RNA (548 nucleotides) under uncultured marine picoplankton. RNAcentral's name for it is "SSU rRNA". It matches the Rfam family "Eukaryotic small subunit ribosomal RNA", at positions 598 to 1149 of the family's 1831-position model. The record is from RNAcentral.
CGUAUACUAAAGUUGUUGCAGUUAAAAAGCUCGUAGUUGAAUUUCUGGUCUCGGACAUCGGUCUGCCUCGAACGAGGUACGUACCAGUUGUCUGAAUCCAUCCUCGGGGAAAACAUAUCUGUCAUUCAGUUGAUGGGUAUGGGAUCCUCGUCAUUUACUGUGAGCAAAAUAGAGUGUUCAAAGCAGGCUUAUGCCGUUGAAUACAUUAGCAUGGAAUAAUAAGAUAAGACCUUGGUCUAAUUUUGUUGGUUUGUACUCCAAGGUAAUGAUUAAUAGGGAUAGUUGGGGGUAUUCGUAUUCAAUUGUCAGAGGUGAAAUUCUUGGAUUUAUGGAAGACGAACUACUGCGAAAGCAUUUACCAAGGAUGUUUUCAUUAAUCAAGAACGAAAGUUAGGGGAUCGAAGAUGAUUAGAUACCAUCGUAGUCUUAACCAUAAACUAUGCCGACUAGGGAUUGGUGGACGUUUGUAACGACUCCAUCAGCACCUUAUGAGAAAUCAAAGUCUUUGGGUUCCGGGGGGAGUAUGGUCGCAAGGCUGAAACUUAAAG